Molecule: ribosomal RNA, 484 nt
Filed under: uncultured bacterium
Lineage: Bacteria
Description: partial 16S ribosomal RNA
Rfam family: Bacterial small subunit ribosomal RNA
Source: RNAcentral
AUUGAACGCUGGCGGCAGGCCUAACACAUGCAAGUCGAGCGGAUGAAGGGAGCUUGCUCCUGGAUUCAGCGGCGGACGGGUGAGUAAUGCCUAGGAAUCUGCCUGGUAGUGGGGGAUAACGUCCGGAAACGGGCGCUAAUACCGCAUACGUCCUGAGGGAGAAAGUGGGGGAUCUUCGGACCUCACGCUCUCAGAUGAGCCUAGGUCGGAUUAGCUAGUUGGUGGGGUAAAGGCCUACCAAGGCGACGAUCCGUAACUGGUCUGAGAGGAUGAUCAGUCACACUGGAACUGAGACACGGUCCAGACUCCUACGAGAGGCAGCAGUGUGGAAUAUUGGACAAUGGGCGAAAGCCUGAUCCAGCCAUGCCGCGUGUGUGAAGAAGGUCUUCGGAUUGUAAAGCACUUUAAGUUGGGAGGAAGGGCAGUAAGUUAAUACCUUGCUGUUUUGACGUUACCAACAGAAUAAGCACCGGCUAACUUCGUG